This 496-nucleotide ribosomal RNA is filed under the name uncultured bacterium. Its description in RNAcentral is "partial 16S ribosomal RNA". It matches the Rfam family "Bacterial small subunit ribosomal RNA", at positions 28 to 507 of the family's 1533-position model. The record is from RNAcentral.
GAUGAACGCUGGCGGCGUGCCUAAUACAUGCAAGUCGAGCGAACGGACGAGAAGCUUGCUUCUCUGAUGUUAGCGGCGGACGGGUGAGUAACACGUGGAUAACCUACCUAUAAGACUGGGAUAACUUCGGGAAACCGUAGCUAAUACCGGAUAAUAUUUUGAACCGCAUGGUUCAAAAGUGAAAGACGGUCUUGCUGUCACUUAUAGAUGGAUCCGCGCUGCAUUAGCUAGUUGGUAAGGUAACGGCUUACCAAGGCAACGAUGCAUAGCCGACCUGAGAGGGGGAUCGGCCACACUGGAACUGAGACACGGUCCAGACUCCUAGGGGAGGCAGCAGUAGGGAAUCUUCCGCAAUGGGCGAAAGCCUGACGGAGCACCGCCGCGUGAGUGAUGAAGGUCUGCGGAUCGUAAAACUCUGUAUUAGGGAAGAACAUAUGUGUAAGUAACUGUGCACAUCUUGACGGUACCUAAUCAGAAAGCCACGGCUAACUACGUG